Long non-coding RNA from Aegilops tauschii subsp. strangulata, 1071 nucleotides. RefSeq lists it as uncharacterized. Lineage: Eukaryota; Viridiplantae; Streptophyta; Magnoliopsida; Poales; Poaceae. The record is from RefSeq and is a predicted model, not a curated record.
CAAUGUUUGCCCGGCUCCGAUGAGGGAGGGGCGAUGACGGCGGCGUGCUUUCGGCUUGCUCCAGUGCUUGUAGUUGUCGCUAGGUGGUCUAUGGACCUGGAUGUAAAUUUUACUUGUAGUGUUCUUUGUACUACCUUGACAGUUGAUGAAUAGAUCGGAAGUUUCUCGAAAAAAAAAACACGUAUCUCUCAGUUUAACGUUGGCUGAUUGCUAAGAAACCAGCAGCCUCGCUGGUGUUCCACGCGUCUGAACACACCCUGCGCACAUGACUCGUGUCCAGCAGGCCCACGCACCGCUGCCUCCAUACGACCUUAUCUUCUUGCCUGGUCGUCUUUCCCGAUCCCCAUUCCAUCGUUCUUCCCCUUGCGCCGUCUGUGCCACCAUUUAUCUCUCAAUCGCCGCUCCUCCUUCAACAACACCAUGCCUAAUAGGCUCGCCUCUCUCGCGGCCCGGCCGCUGGAGCUCGCCAUGCUCUUCUGCGAGAGGGGGAGAUGACAGUGCUGGAAGGCGACAGCCACCAUGGUUGCGGGACGAUGGCAGUUUCCGGCGGCGGCGCUGCGGGAUGUUGCAAGGCGGCGACGGGCCACGGCGAGAGGCGUGCUAUGACAGCGUCGACAACCGCGGAGGUGCCGCGAGGCUGCGGUGAUGCUUCAAUUUCCGUGGCUACGCUCGGUGCUGAGCUGCGCUCCAAGGGGCGGCCGCCGGUGCUACGACGACCUGCCGGUGGCUGCGCUGCUACGAGGCCGGCCUGGACUGGCACGGGACGCACGGCUGCUGCCGGGACGACAACAAACGGGGCAGCGACGCCUGGGCCUCGGCCUUUUUUUUUGUUCCUUCCUCGCUGGUACCAGGCUACCAGCUGUGUCUUAGUGGUUGGGGCAUGUGGUUGUGCAGCCUAACGACCCGAGUUUAAUUCUUAAAAUUGACAGGUGAUGCACAGGGGCUUUUCCCCAUUUAUCGAGGAUCAAGUUUGGUGUGUGGUGGAACCACGCAUCAAAAAAUAUCUUGAUACUCAUUUAAAAAAUUCUGAGGACCAUGUUUAUCUUGGUACUCAUACUAAAAUGGCCGUAU